UGGCUUUUGUGUGGUCAUGAGUACAGGACGGGAAAGUAUAUGUUGCCAAGAGGUAAACAAUAGUGAUCCUCUGAAACAUGGCGAUCAUAUUUGCAUCACACAAGAGGAAGAGUUUGCCACAGUGUGUACAAACGAAGCCGUCAUAAAAACAUCUAUGGUCGUGUACACACAUGACAUUGGACCUAUACCUGAGAGUGAAGAAAACGAAAACAUUACGCUACACGGCGUACCGACAGUGGACGGCUUGGGUGCAUGGCAAGUUGGGAAAAAAGUACAGACUACCCAUACCUUCUUGUGCUGUGGACAAAAUCCGGAAAGCAUUUCCUUCGCCUUCUGGAGAAUACAAAGGAUUUGAAUAUGCUCAACACUACUGAAUGAAGCGACAUUUAUGUUGCUUAAUGGCUUCAGCUUUGCUGAUUUUUGAUUUGUGGCAAGUCAAUGGGACAGGUAUUUCUUUCACUCCAGACAUGAAGAGCUUUGGACAGUGUUGGAUUAAUGCGUCUGCAGUACAAAACUUCUUUCAUCAAGUCCUUAACAUAUCCUGAAAAGCAAAUCAUUAUUUAUGUUGGCUUUGCAUUGCACUUUGAGAAAAA
Xenia sp. Carnegie-2017 is the source of this 593-nucleotide long non-coding RNA. RefSeq lists it as uncharacterized. The transcript has 3 exons. NCBI's taxonomy places the organism in Eukaryota, Metazoa, Cnidaria, Anthozoa, Malacalcyonacea, Xeniidae. The record is from RefSeq and is a predicted model, not a curated record.